Long non-coding RNA from Drosophila simulans, 815 nucleotides. RefSeq lists it as uncharacterized. The transcript is spliced from 2 exons. NCBI's taxonomy places the organism in Eukaryota, Metazoa, Arthropoda, Insecta, Diptera, Drosophilidae. The record is from RefSeq and is a predicted model, not a curated record.
UAUAGAUAAAGUAAUAGAUGCACUACUCAUUAGUUGAGAAAGGCAGGUUUCGUAGCUUCGGAUUAUAUUUACAUAUAGAAAAGUAACUUAGUAAUGUCACGAACUUUUCCAACCAACAUUUUGUUAUGUGUGGCUAAAACAACUCCAAUCGAAAACAUCCUCUAAAAGGCACAAGCAGAAGACCGAAUAAUAGAAAAAUGCAAAGCAGAGCAGAGCUUAUAGCCAUUAUAGAGGCCGUAGAAACUCACGAAAAUAAAAGAGGAAAAUUCUGCAUAUGUUCAGACUCACUUUCCGCAUUUGAAGCAAUUAAAAAUCUAAACAACAGCGAUCACUACACAUCUUAGGCUCGCCACAUACUACAAAAAUUCAAUACCAAAUUUAAACUCCUUUGGAUACUAGGACUUGUUGGAAUACCAGGAAAUCAACUCGGUGAUUGCCAAGCAACAAACCAACCACUUACAACUAUUGAAAACCUUAACACACAGGACAUAUGUACAUUCGUAAAUAUUUAAAAAACGAAUACUACAAGAAAUACCUAACAAAAAUCACAAAAACAUCAACUUGGUUUCAAACAUCCAACCAAAAUCUUCUUAAGAGACUCGAACAUGCACUUCCACGACCAAACCCAACAGACAACCUGGAACACCUGUUGUCCACCUGUAUCCAUCUUAGAAACCAUAGAAGCAACAUUUUUAACAAUAUCAACCCAAUAGGGCUCCUUUUAACUUCCACACCGUCAAACAAAUUAAAUAUCCUUAAAUACAUUAAAAUCGUAUAUCUGUACUACCAAAUAUAAUGAAACAUUAACAAGAUUA